GCAGAUUGGGCGGAUCGAACGUGGGUCGGCAGAAAUAUCUCCCUCGUCACCCCCUUUUUCUCCCUCGUCUCUUCCCAUCCCGCUGCUCUUCUCCAUGCCGCCGCCGCUGCUUCCCCCUUCCUCUCGGCCGCCUGUCUCCCCCGCCUCCACCACCUUCUCCCCUCCUGCCUCCUCACCCAACCUGCGCAGCCAUACUAGCACAGCCAGACUAUGCGAUGUGGACGAGGAAGGGACAGAUCGGGAGGCGGGCAAGAGGAACCAGGCGGUUCUCCUUCCAUGGCCAGGCCUCGACCUGCCGCAUCUUCCUCCUCCCAGUCCGGCAGAGAGGAGUGGCGGAUCCGCCUCCUCAAGCGAGCAGGGGCGCACAGGGAUUUGAUCCAGGGAUCUCCUUGCGAGAGGCCGCCACAGUACCGACUCCAACCUACAGCCGGUUCCAACUCAGGUCUGAUGCAAUUUUGGAACUGAAUGGUUAUUCGGUCUGACUUGUUCAUGUAGUUCAUGGCACUAUGUCGGCAAGCUACAUCUUGUGAAGAUUUGGCUACCGCAUUAUAUGGUGGUGUUUCACUUCCCUCAGUCAAGGAUUCUCUGGAGUAUUGACAAUUGCAGGCUUCAUCAAUCAGAACAUGUGUAGAGGUGCCAUCCAUUGAUGUUUCCUUGGAGUACUGAUAAUUUAACUUGUUUCAUGAGAUAAACUUCCUUUCUCGUACGCUCCUUCUCUAUAUAACUGGGUUCAAAUACACAAUGAGGUUCAGAGAGUAGCACACUCCCUCACGGCUGGACAAGGCAGAGAUGUGUCGAGGAUCCGCACACACUUCAUCGUCAUCUUCUCCGCCUCAACUUCCUUGACAACACCUGGCCUCAAGCUCCAUCCAUAGCAGAUUGCCCCCAAGUAUCUAAGCCCCAUUACCCUUCUUCCUUCCUAUUAUUUAUCACAUGUAUCCAUGCCCAGGCUAAUGCACACCAGCAGCCUUGUAAAAUGUCUGGAUGAUCUUUGUUUUGUAGAAUGUGUGCUGCUAUAAUUAGGCCAUGUGAAAUUAUAGGUAUACUUUCUUGAGCUGCUGCAGAUCCUUUUAACAGCGAAGAUAUUUACGGCAGCCUACUCCAUGUAGAUUUUACAGCGAAAAACUGAAGAACUUGUGAUGGCCACAAAGAGACUGAAAUAUUUGCACGAAGCGAAGACAUCCACCCGGUAUACAUAUGGUCAGAAGCUAAGGGUUACUUCUUUUCAGCCGCUAUUGAGAUAUUUAUGUGCUCAUAGAUCACAACUCAUGAAGUUACUGCCUUUUGGUUUUGAUUUAUAAUUAUUAAAUUGGACAAUCUUUUGGUGGAUACAAUAGCCUGUUAUAUUUUCGUACUAGACCUUGAUGUAAACUAUUGUAGACGAAAUUGAAGUUUCUGCAAGGGCAUAUCACUAUGAAUGACAAUUACGAAAGUAAGCCUGGGGAUACAGAUCUUAUGUUUCUACUAAUUUUUUGUCUCGCUUGAUAUGUGCACGUUGUUUUAGUUAUCAGAAAUGUAACCUGGGCAUGUGAAAAUAAGCUAGCAUCCUUUUGGAAGUUUUUUUAAGAACAGGGGGGCUUCGAGGUGGUUUGAUUUUUUAACCAAUUAAUAAGAACUUCUGCGUAACCUUGGGUUAAUUACUGACCUCUUUCCUUCCCUCCUUCCCCAUCAUCAGUAAUUUAGUACAAUGUAUAUGCAAAUGAUUGAUGCAAUCUCAAUCUUCUUGUGCAAUGCAUGCAGGAUGACCCUUGUCCUGGACCCUCGGGCUGUGGUAAAAGAACCCUUUUGCUGGCAUUUUCUCUCAAGGCACUAUUGACCAUUCUGGGCUCCUCGCAAAUAUUGAAAGCAAAAGAAGAGUCACUAAGUCGAAAAGAUAUUAUGGACAUGAUAAAUAAAUGGUUUGUUGCUUGUGAUGAAGAGGCUUUGCUUGAAGAAUAUAACCAGGACUCGAAGAGGUAUAGUUCUGGAAGGGAUGCUCAUGUAAACCUUAAAAGAGCAGAAAAGGCAUGGAUUUUGGUCACUAAAAUUCCAAGUAGGUUUUAGUUCCAAUGCUGGAGAACUAUUCAUGUAUUUCAGUUGCAAGACCCAUAUUUUUUCCAGCUAUGGUGGGCAACCUAAUAAACCGUACCAUUUCUUGGGAAAAUGCAAGAAAUAAGCCAUUCCUAUAUGAUGGGGAUUCAUCUAUGAAGCCUGAGAAGUAGUCUAUUUCUAUCAUGUGGCAGAAGAAUCAAGCGUGAUAAUAGGGAGAAGGGUAACACUCUUCUCUCGAUGACCACAAGGUUCAUGCUUUUUGUUGAUUGAUUUUGCUGAAUCAAAAUGAUACUUCUCUUAUAUAUUUUGAAAGAAAUGUUUUCCUAAAUUUCGAUUAUUAAAAGGGUCCUGAGUAUUGCCAAUUUUUUUUUUCAAAUAACUAUGAGUUUGAAAUUGGAUCUUUGUUGUCUGGUACCUUUGCUCUUGUGCUAACUAAAGUGCUCUUCUGGUUGAUGUUAUCACCUAUGUAUAAGGUUAAUAAUUAUGAGGUAGAGGGUUGUGCUGCCAGUACAACACUGCCCCACUUUUCCUAUUCGCUGCCUCUAAGGGCAUCAUCAUCAGCCUUCCUUAACGCCUACAUAAAGCUCAUGUAGCUUUGGCUUUAUUUUGCUUUUAUGUUUUAUCCUAAAUAUAAUGAAAUCGUCUCACCCACUUAUGAUGUAUGGCUGAAUCAUACUCCAUGUAAUGGAUCUGAACUUCUAUAACAUAAUAAUUGUAUGUCUGCGUAUGACCGUAUAUAUAUUUGUAGGCUACUCGAUAAUGUAAUUAGUUCACUUGGUUAUAACCACAUAACUCUCGGUUCUAAUUGAGCUCUUGAACUAUUUGUUGUUAUGCAUAAGCAAAUUGUUCAGUUUGUUAAAAUUGUGUUAUAAUUCUCUUUUUAUUAUUGUAGUAGUCUUUUUCUGUACCAAUUUGUGACAUUACAAUGCUCCUCAUUUUUGCCGUGCCAUAAAACAAUAAAGAACUUGUCAAUGGACAACCUAUAGUCUACAAUUACAAUUCUUUAUGCACUUUGGAGCUAUUGGAUGUCCGAGUAUGUCACAAAGCAAUAUUAUCGAUGCAAAUAUUCACAGGCAUAGGGUCGGCAGGUGCCGAAUUCUCAUGUUGUUGCAAUUCUGAAAUAUGGAUGGUUCGCUUGAUUGCUUCCGAGGUGAACUAAAUUCUCUAUUGUUUCAGCCUUAAGAGUAGAUCCAGUUCCUCUCAUGUCUGAAUGAGCCGAAGGAUAAUUUCCUUCAUGUUGAAGUACCGUUGCAUUUGCUUCGCAGAAAAAAAAUUAGACACCGUGGUUGAAGGCCCAGUGUAUGAAUACUUCAUUUUGAACCAUUUGCAUUGCCAAACUGCACGUCUCAUUUUCUUUUGUGUAUGUUAGCAGUAUAUAUUUUUAGCUUGCACAUGGUCAACCUUGAAUGUCCACUGUUUCACAAGUUUACCAUAGGCAUAGGGUAUGGAGUAAGUGUUGAUUGACAAGUUCACAAAUAAACUAGCAAUAACUGGCAUGAGGCAGAAUUGUCCUGGACAUAUCCAGAAUUUUAGAAUUUUACUUCAACCUCGAAUGAUUUUCUUAUAUCUCCUUUUCUUUCAUGUAUAUGUGCAGUCUACAUAGAUCUUAUUAUUUCACAUGUUCUUAAGAUGAAGACACAUCUAGGGAAAGGUUUUGAUGUAAUGAAGUACAUUUAUUUGUGAUAGUUCUCCCAACCUGAUAAAAUCAGAAUAUUUGUCCUUGCUUUUUUACUUUUCACAUUGUUAUGUUUCACGUUGUUGUCCAAAGGGAUGUGCCUUAUUGUCCAAAUUUUCUUAUAUAUCCUUGUAUCCAUCACUUCUCACUAAGAUCCGUAAAUGUGAUUGAUGAACAAGGUUAGAGAAAAAUUAGCUUGACAUUCUCGAGUUGUUGAACCAAGGAAUUUAUGCUAUGAACAAGUUUUAAAAAUAGUGCUGGUGAAAAGUGUUGUUCAAGAAAUAGCUUUAUGCCAUUUUUUAGCUUUUACUAAUUUUUUAUUAUGUUAGCUUUUAUUAAACUUUGUCUUAGUUGACUCCGUGUUCUUUGUAUGCUUAGGUUAGAAUCCCAACAAAGGUGCUUCUGGAUGAUAUGAUGUGGCAACUCCAGUUUCUAAAUGUAGUUUACUCAACCCGCAAAGAAAGAACGGUUGGCCUCGACGCAACAGUUGAGUUCUAUUCACUUGGUCACAAGCAUCACUUGGGUUUAGAUAUGAGCUCAAUGACAUGGAAGACAUAAACUACGACAAGGCACAACUAGCUCAACAAAAAUGCCAGACCCUAGAGCAUCAACAAAAAGAAAAGGAAAGAAUAAUCAACUAUUUUAGCAAUAGUUGUGCAAUAGCCUCAUUGGAGAUCGCAUGGCAGCAAAGGAACUUUACCGCAUAGAUACAAACUUCAUAGCUGGCUCAACAUCGAAAGAUAACAAUCUCAAUCAUGUUUAUCACAGGUAAAAUAUGUUGCUGGCCGUCUUAGCUGUACAACAACAGUCUGAAUAUGAUCUCUAGCAAACAAACCACUAUUAUUGGAGACUGACGAUGACAUCGAAGGAAUUUCUGAUCUAUCUGUCUACCAUGAAGAAUAGCAGCUAUGAAGAGUUGCCUCAGAGAAUCGUUCUAAAUGUCCAGCGAUAGAUCUAUCUAUCGUAUCUCUGCCUAUCCGCAUGCCUUGCGCAUAACUUGUAAAUGAUCGUUCGUCAGCUUCUUUGGAAACAUGUAUCAUCACGAACCAUGUAUCUAUCAUCAAUCCAUACUUAUUUUUAUAUGUUUCA
This is an RNA transcript of Triticum aestivum (bread wheat), 4795 nucleotides long. RefSeq lists it as uncharacterized. The transcript has 7 exons. The record is from RefSeq and is a predicted model, not a curated record. NCBI's taxonomy places the organism in Eukaryota, Viridiplantae, Streptophyta, Magnoliopsida, Poales, Poaceae.